Molecule: ribosomal RNA, 868 nt
Filed under: uncultured archaeon
Lineage: Archaea
Description: bacterial SSU rRNA
Rfam family: Archaeal small subunit ribosomal RNA
Source: RNAcentral
UCCCGGUGAUCCCUGCCGGACCUGACUGCUAUCGGAUUGGUACUAAGCCAUGCGAGUCGUUGUAGCAAUACAAGGCGGACGGCUCAGUAACACGUAGUCAACCUAACCUAUGGACGUGGAUAACCUCGGGAAACUGAGAAUAAACCGCGAUAGAUCAUUAUGCCUGGAAUGGCUUAUGGUUCAAACAAUUUAUUGCCGUAGGAUGGGACUGCGGCCUAUCAGCUUGUUGGUGAGGUAAUGGCCCACCAAGGCUAUAACAGGUACGGGCUCUGAGAGGAGAAGCCCGGAGAUGGGUACUGAGACACGGACCCAGGCCCUAUGGGGCGCAGCAGGCGAGAAACCUUAGCAAUGUGCGAAAGCACGACUAGGUUAAUCCGAGUGAUUUCUGUUGAAGAAAUCUUUUGUCAGUCAUAAAACCACAGACGAAUAAGGGGUGGGCAAGUCUGGUGUCAGCCGCCGCGGUAAUACCAGCACCUCGAGUGGUCAGGAGGUUUAUUGGGCCUAAAGCAUCCGUAGCCGGCUACGCAAGUCUCCGGUUAAAUCCAGCUGCUCAACAGAUGGGCUGCCGGAGAUACUACAUAGCUAGGGAGCGGGAGAGGCAGACGGUAUUCUGUGGGUAGGGGUAAAAUCCUUUGAUCCAUAGAGGACCACCAGUGGCGAAGGCGGUCUGCCAGAACGCGUUCGACGGUGAGGGAUGAAAGCUGGGGGAGCAAACCGGAUUAGAUACCCGGGUAGUCCCAGCUGUAAACGAUGCAAACUCGGUGAUGCAUUGGCUUAUGGCCAAUGCAGUGCCGCAGGGAAGCCGUUAAGUUUGCCGCCUGGGAAGUACGGACGCAAGUCUGAAACUUAAAGGAUUGGCGGGGGAGCA